This 433-nucleotide ribosomal RNA is filed under the name uncultured bacterium. RNAcentral describes it as "partial 16S ribosomal RNA". It matches the Rfam family "Bacterial small subunit ribosomal RNA", at positions 29 to 507 of the family's 1533-position model. The record is from RNAcentral.
AAUGAACGCUGGCGGCAUGCCUAACACAUGCAAGUCGAACGAAGGCUUCGGCCUUAGUGGCGCACGGGUGCGUAACGCGUGGGAAUCUGCCCUUGGGUUCGGAAUAACAGUUAGAAAUGACUGCUAAUACCGGAUGAUGUCGUAAGACCAAAGAUUUAUCGCCCAAGGAUGAGCCCGCUUAGGAUUAGCUAGUUGGUGGGGUAAAGGCCUACCAAGGCGACGAUCCUUAGCUGGUCUGAGAGGAUGAUCAGCCACACUGGGACUGAGACACGGCCCAGACUCCUACGGGAGGCAGCAGUGGGGAAUAGUGGACCAUGGGCGAAAGCCUGAUCCAGCAAUGCCGCGUGAGUGAUGAAGGCAGUAGGGUUGUAAAGCUCUUUUAACCGGGAUGAUAAUGACAGUACCGGGAGAAUAAGCCCCGGCUAACUUCGUG